CCUACGGGAGGCAGCAGUGGGGAAUAUUGGACAAUGGGGGCAACCCUGAUCCAGCCAUGCCGCGUGUGUGAAGAAGGCCCUCGGGUUGUAAAGCACUUUCAGUGAGGAAGAACGCCUGGUGGUUAAUACCCAUCAGGAAAGACAUCACUCACAGAAGAAGCCCCGGCUAACUCCGUGCCAGCAGCCGCGGUAAUACGGAGGGUGCGAGCGUUAAUCGGAAUUACUGGGCGUAAAGCGCGCGUAGGUGGCUUGAUAAGCCGGGUGUGAAAGCCCCGGGCUCAACCUGGGAACGGCAUCCGGAACUGUCAAGCUAGAGUGCAGGAGAGGAAGGUAGAAUUCCCGGUGUAGCGGUGAAAUGCGUAGAGAUCGGGAGGAAUACCAGUGGCGAAGGCAGCCUUCUGGACUGACACUGACACUGAGGUGCGAAAGCGUGGGUAGCAAACAGGAUUAGAUACCCUUGUAGUC
RNAcentral lists this ribosomal RNA (465 nucleotides) under Vreelandella stevensii. Its description in RNAcentral is "partial 16S ribosomal RNA". It matches the Rfam family "Bacterial small subunit ribosomal RNA", at positions 338 to 795 of the family's 1533-position model. The record is from RNAcentral. Lineage: Bacteria; Pseudomonadati; Pseudomonadota; Gammaproteobacteria; Oceanospirillales; Halomonadaceae.